GACGAACGCUGGCGGCGUGCUUAACACAUGCAAGUCGAACGGAAAGGCCCCUUUGGGGUUUCUCGAGUGGCGAACGGGGGAGUAACACGUGAGUAACCUGCCCUUCACUUCGGGAUAACUUUACGAAACUGGGGCUAAUACCGGAAAGGAAUCCUUUCCGCAUUGAGGGUGUUGGUUAGCUUCGGGGGUUUUGGAUGGAGUCGCGGCUUGUCGGCUUGUUGGUGGGGUAUUGGCUUACUAAGGCGUUGACGGGUAGCCGGCCGGAGGGGGGGACCGGCGACAUUGGGACUGGGAAACGGGCCAGACUCCUGCGGGCGGCAGGAGGGGGGAAUAGUGAACAAUGGGCGGAAGCCUGAAGCAGCAACGCCGGGGGCGGGAUGAUGGCCAACGGGUUGGAAACCGAUUUCAGCAGGGGCGAGGCUUGUGGUGACGGUACCUGCAGAAGAAGCACCGGCUAACUACGUG
RNAcentral lists this ribosomal RNA (465 nucleotides) under uncultured bacterium. RNAcentral describes it as "partial 16S ribosomal RNA". It matches the Rfam family "Bacterial small subunit ribosomal RNA", at positions 28 to 507 of the family's 1533-position model. The record is from RNAcentral.